GCCAGCAUGACACAGUGGUUUGAGUGCUGGAUUAUGAUUCUGGAGACCAGGGUUCAAUUCCUGCUUGGCC
Molecule: non-coding RNA, 70 nt
Organism: Phrynosoma platyrhinos (Desert horned lizard)
Lineage: Eukaryota; Metazoa; Chordata; Lepidosauria; Squamata; Phrynosomatidae
Source: the annotation of a GenBank genome assembly